GUGAGGAAUAUUGGUCAAUGGGCGGGAGCCUGAACCAGCCAAGUCGCGUGAAUGAAGAAGGAUCUAUGGUUCGUAAACUUCUUUUGCAGGGGAAUAAAGUGCAGGACGUGUCCUGUUUUGUAUGUACCCUGAGAAUAAGGAUCGGCUAACUCCGUGCCAGCAGCCGCGGUAAUACGGAGGAUCCGAGCGUUAUCCGGAUUUAUUGGGUUUAAAGGGUGCGUAGGUGGUUUGAUAAGUCAGCGGUGAAAGUUUGCAGCUUAACUGUAAAAAUGCCGUUGAAACUGUCGGACUUGAGUGUAAAUGAGGUAGGCGGAAUGCGUGGUGUAGCGGUGAAAUGCAUAGAUAUCACGCAGAACUCCGAUUGCGAAGGCAGCUUACUAAGCUACAACUGACACUGAAGCACGAAAGCGUGGGGAUCAAACAGGAUUAGAAACCCUGGUAGUCC
Molecule: ribosomal RNA, 445 nt
Filed under: uncultured bacterium
Lineage: Bacteria
Description: partial 16S ribosomal RNA
Rfam family: Bacterial small subunit ribosomal RNA
Source: RNAcentral